CUGACCCAGAGGGAGUAAUCGAAGGGGAAUGGAGACAAUGCAGACACACUGAGGAAACAAAGAGUCUACAGUCCAGAGUGAAGAAUGAAUUGCAGAGCCUCCUACCUCCUCCACAGCCCCCUCGGUGUGCUCACUGGACUGAGUGCAUUCCCAGGAACCAUACACAGGGCACAACUGGUGAAACAGGACAAGGCAACUCCAGGGACAAAAGGAAAAUAGAGCUUCUUUGAGCACGGUCCAGGAUGGUCAGGCGGGAUGAGCAGGCUGUCAAAGUUCUGCCAGGUGGUGACGACCGGAGAGAGGUCAUCAUAGACCGAGAACAUUGGCGUCCCAAAGCGGCCCACAUACUGCUUGUAGAAGUGCUCCUUCACCCUCUCUUUGAUCAGCCAAAGAGGAUGAUGCUGCUGGUUGUGCAGAUUCCUGCCAACCCUGGAGAGGACCUUCUGGGACAGGUUGCUAUAGUCGUCCUGAGGGUAAGAUUUGCCCAGCAGCUCUACCACACUGCCUGGAGCUCUUCGGGCAGCAAACUCUGAAGCAGCAGGUCUCGAGCCCAAGGCCUGAUGAUGAUGAUGGCCUUUGGAGACACUACUGGCUUUCCUCACCAGGUAAACAUGCAUAUGGGCAACUCUCCUGAGAGCUGAGCAAACCAUUGCAACUCCUCUCACAGAUUCUGGAAAGAGCACACAUGCAAAACACAAGUCAAGCUUCACUCUGUAAAAGAUAAGUAUGUCCUGUGUUUCCAACCUGCUCCCCACUGUCCUAAUGACGUGUUUCCCCUACUACCUCUUCCACACAGACCAAAGACCCCAUUAAGGAAAUCUGCUGACUGAGGCUUAAUAGGUACUGCUCUACAUCAAAAGAACCUUAAAAUCAUGUUAGAUCCCUACUUUCUAGCUAUUCUUCAUGGGUUUGAAGACAACUUCCUUUAUCGUGUCAUGUCAUGUCCUGAAUCCCUCAUGUUCAAUAAAACUUUGUGUGACAA
Molecule: long non-coding RNA, 982 nt
Organism: Canis lupus familiaris (dog)
Lineage: Eukaryota; Metazoa; Chordata; Mammalia; Carnivora; Canidae
Exons: 2
Source: RefSeq, a predicted model, not a curated record